RNAcentral lists this ribosomal RNA (253 nucleotides) under uncultured bacterium. RNAcentral describes it as "partial 16S ribosomal RNA". It matches the Rfam family "Bacterial small subunit ribosomal RNA", at positions 524 to 776 of the family's 1533-position model. The record is from RNAcentral.
UACAGAGGGUGCAAGCGUUGUUCGGAAUUAUUGGGCGUAAAGCGCGUGUAGGCGGCCUUGCAAGUCGGGUGUGAAAGCCCUCAGCUUAACUGAGGAAGUGCGCCCGAAACUGCAGAGCUUGAGUACCGGAGAGGAUGGUGGAAUUCCAGAAGUAGAGGUGAAAUUCGUAGAUAUCUGGAGGAACACCGGUGGCGAAGGCGACCAUCUGGACGGAUACUGACGCUGAGACGCGAAAGCGUGGGUAGCAAACAGG